GACGAACGCUGGCGGCGUGCUUAACACAUGCAAGUCGAACGGAAAGGCCCUGCUUUUGUGGGGUGCUCGAGGGGCGAACGGGUGAGUAACACGGGAGUAACCUGCCCUUGACUUUGGGAUAACUUCAGGAAACUGGGGCUAAUACCGGAUAGGAGCUCCUGCUGCAUGGUGGGGGUUGGAAAGUUUCGGCGGUGGGGGAUGGACUCGCGGCUUAUCAGCUUGUGGGUGGGGUAGUGGCUUACCAAGGCUUUGACGGGUAGCCGGCCUGAGAGGGUGACCGGCCACAUUGGGACUGAGAUACGGACCAGACUCCUACGGGAGGCAGCAGUGGGGAAUAUUGCACAAUCGGCGGAAGCCUGAUGCAGCAACGCCGCGUGCGGGAUGACGGCCUUCGGGUUGUAAACCGCUUUAGCCUGUGACGAAGCGUGAGUGACGGUAAUGGGUAAAGAAGCACCGGCUAACUACGUG
This 468-nucleotide ribosomal RNA is filed under the name uncultured bacterium. RNAcentral's name for it is "partial 16S ribosomal RNA". It matches the Rfam family "Bacterial small subunit ribosomal RNA", at positions 28 to 507 of the family's 1533-position model. The record is from RNAcentral.